Molecule: ribosomal RNA, 653 nt
Filed under: uncultured bacterium
Lineage: Bacteria
Description: bacterial SSU rRNA
Rfam family: Bacterial small subunit ribosomal RNA
Source: RNAcentral
AGAGUUUGAUCAUGGCUCANAUUGAACGCUGGCGGCAGGCCUAACACAUGCAAGUCGAGCGCGAAAGGCUUUCGGGCUGAGUAGAGCGGCGGACGGGUGAGUAACGCGUAGGAAUCUACCUGGUAGUGGGGGACAACUUGGGGAAACUCAAGCUAAUACCGCAUACGCCCCAAGGGGGAAAGCGGGGGAUCUUCGGACCUCGCGCUAUCGGAUGAGCCUGCGUAGGAUUAGCUUGUUGGUGAGGUAAAGGCUCACCAAGGCGACGAUCCUUAGCUGGUCUGAGAGGAUGAUCAGCCACACUGGAACUGAGACACGGUCCAGACUCCUACGGGAGGCAGCAGUGGGGAAUAUUGCGCAAUGGGCGAAAGCCUGACGCAGCCAUGCCGCGUGUGUGAAGAAGGCCCUAGGGUUGUAAAGCACUUUAAGCGGGGAGAAAAGGGUGGCCGUUAAUAGCGGUCACCUGUGAUGUUACCCACAGAAUAAGCACCGGCUAACUCCGUGCCAGCAGCCGCGGUAAUACGGAGGGUGCGAGCGUUAAUCGGAAUUACUGGGCGUAAAGCGCGCGUAGGCGGUUUGUUAAGUCAGCUGUGAAAGCCCCGGGCUCAACCUGNGAACUGCAGUUGAUACUGGCCGACUAGAGUACGAGAGAGGGA